CAGCAUCGGCUAACUCCGUGCCAGCAGCCGCGGUAAUACGGAGGAUGCAAGCGUUAUCCGGAAUUAUUGGGCGUAAAGCGUCCGCAGGCGGCUAGAUAAGUCUGCUUUCAAAGAGUGGGGCUCAACCCCAUAAAGGGAGUGGAAACUGUUUAGCUAGAGUAUGGUAGGGGCAGAGGGAAUUCCCAGUGUAGCGGUGAAAUGCGUAGAUAUUGGGAAGAACACCAGUGGCGAAGGCGCUCUGCUGGACCGAGACUGACGCUGAGGGACGAAAGCUAGGGGAGCGAAUGGGAUUAGAU
RNAcentral lists this ribosomal RNA (296 nucleotides) under Halomicronema sp. K40. RNAcentral's name for it is "partial 16S ribosomal RNA". It matches the Rfam family "Bacterial small subunit ribosomal RNA", at positions 488 to 783 of the family's 1533-position model. The record is from RNAcentral. Lineage: Bacteria; Bacillati; Cyanobacteriota; Cyanophyceae; Nodosilineales; Nodosilineaceae.